AUUGAACUCGCUGUGAAGAUGCAGUGUACCCGCGGCAAGACGGAAAGACCCCGUGAACCUUUACUAUAGCUUGACACUGAACAUUGAGCCUUGAUGUGUAGGAUAGGUGGGAGGCUUUGAAGCGUGGACGCCAGUCUGCGUGGAGCCGACCUUGAAAUACCACCCUUUAAUGUUUGAUGUUCUAACGUGGACCCGUAAUCCGGGUUGCGGACAGUGUCUGGUGGGUAGUUUGACUGGGGCGGUCUCCUCCUAAAGAGUAACGGAGGAGCACGAAGGUUGGCUAAUCCUGGUCGGACAUCAGGAGGUUAGUGCAAUGGCAUAAGCCAGCUUGACUGCGAGCGUGACGGCGCGAGCAGGUGCGAAAGCAGGUCAUAGUGAUCCGGUGGUUCUGAAUGGAAGGGCCAUCGCUCAACGGAUAAAAGGUACUCCGGGGAUAACAGGCUGAUACCGCCCAAGAGUUCAUAUCGACGGCGGUGUUUGGCACCUCGAUGUCGGCUCAUCACAUCCUGGGGCUGAAGUAGGUCCCAAGGGUAUGGCUGUUCGCCAUUUAAAGUGGUACGCGAGCUGGGUUUAGAACGUCGUGAGACAGUUCGGUCCCUAUCUGCCGUGGGCGCUGGAGAACUGAGGGGGGCUGCUCCUAGUACGAGAGGACCGGAGUGGACGCAUCACUGGUGUUCGGGUUGUCAUGCCAAUGGCACUGCCCGGUAGCUAAAUGCGGAAGAGAUAAGUGCUGAAAGCAUCUAAGCACGAAACUUGCCCCGAGAUGAGUUCUCCCUGAGACUUAGAGUCUCCUGAAGGAACGUUGAAGACGACGACGUUGAUAGGCCGGGUGUGUAAGCGCAGCGAUGCGUUGAGCUAACCGGUACUAAUGAACCGUGAGGCUUAACCUU
This 890-nucleotide ribosomal RNA is filed under the name Salmonella enterica. Its description in RNAcentral is "partial 23S ribosomal RNA". It matches the Rfam family "Bacterial large subunit ribosomal RNA", at positions 2041 to 2925 of the family's 2925-position model. The record is from RNAcentral. Lineage: Bacteria; Pseudomonadati; Pseudomonadota; Gammaproteobacteria; Enterobacterales; Enterobacteriaceae.